RNAcentral lists this ribosomal RNA (2873 nucleotides) under Staphylococcus aureus. RNAcentral's name for it is "partial 23S ribosomal RNA". It matches the Rfam family "Bacterial large subunit ribosomal RNA". Lineage: Bacteria; Bacillati; Bacillota; Bacilli; Caryophanales; Staphylococcaceae. The record is from RNAcentral.
AGAUUAAGUUAUUAAGGGCGCACGGUGGAUGCCUUGGCACUAGAAGCCGAUGAAGGACGUUACUAACGACGAUAUGCUUUGGGGAGCUGUAAGUAAGCUUUGAUCCAGAGAUUUCCGAAUGGGGAAACCCAGCAUGAGUUAUGUCAUGUUAUCGAUAUGUGAAUACAUAGCAUAUCAGAAGGCACACCCGGAGAACUGAAACAUCUUAGUACCCGGAGGAAGAGAAAGAAAAUUCGAUUCCCUUAGUAGCGGCGAGCGAAACGGGAAGAGCCCAAACCAACAAGCUUGCUUGUUGGGGUUGUAGGACACUCUAUACGGAGUUACAAAGGACGACAUUAGACGAAUCAUCUGGAAAGAUGAAUCAAAGAAGGUAAUAAUCCUGUAGUCGAAAAUGUUGUCUCUCUUGAGUGGAUCCUGAGUACGACGGAGCACGUGAAAUUCCGUCGGAAUCUGGGAGGACCAUCUCCUAAGGCUAAAUACUCUCUAGUGACCGAUAGUGAACCAGUACCGUGAGGGAAAGGUGAAAAGCACCCCGGAAGGGGAGUGAAAUAGAACCUGAAACCGUGUGCUUACAAGUAGUCAGAGCCCGUUAAUGGGUGAUGGCGUGCCUUUUGUAGAAUGAACCGGCGAGUUACGAUUUGAUGCAAGGUUAAGCAGUAAAUGUGGAGCCGUAGCGAAAGCGAGUCUGAAUAGGGCGUUUAGUAUUUGGUCGUAGACCCGAAACCAGGUGAUCUACCCUUGGUCAGGUUGAAGUUCAGGUAACACUGAAUGGAGGACCGAACCGACUUACGUUGAAAAGUGAGCGGAUGAACUGAGGGUAGCGGAGAAAUUCCAAUCGAACCUGGAGAUAGCUGGUUCUCUCCGAAAUAGCUUUAGGGCUAGCCUCAAGUGAUGAUUAUUGGAGGUAGAGCACUGUUUGGACGAGGGGCCCCUCUCGGGUUACCGAAUUCAGACAAACUCCGAAUGCCAAUUAAUUUAACUUGGGAGUCAGAACAUGGGUGAUAAGGUCCGUGUUCGAAAGGGAAACAGCCCAGACCACCAGCUAAGGUCCCAAAAUAUAUGUUAAGUGGAAAAGGAUGUGGCGUUGCCCAGACAACUAGGAUGUUGGCUUAGAAGCAGCCAUCAUUUAAAGAGUGCGUAAUAGCUCACUAGUCGAGUGACACUGCGCCGAAAAUGUACCGGGGCUAAACAUAUUACCGAAGCUGUGGAUUGUCCUUUGGACAAUGGUAGGAGAGCGUUCUAAGGGCGUUGAAGCAUGAUCGUAAGGACAUGUGGAGCGCUUAGAAGUGAGAAUGCCGGUGUGAGUAGCGAAAGACGGGUGAGAAUCCCGUCCACCGAUUGACUAAGGUUUCCAGAGGAAGGCUCGUCCGCUCUGGGUUAGUCGGGUCCUAAGCUGAGGCCGACAGGCGUAGGCGAUGGAUAACAGGUUGAUAUUCCUGUACCACCUAUAAUCGUUUUAAUCGAUGGGGGGACGCAGUAGGAUAGGCGAAGCGUGCGAUUGGAUUGCACGUCUAAGCAGUAAGGCUGAGUAUUAGGCAAAUCCGGUACUCGUUAAGGCUGAGCUGUGAUGGGGAGAAGACAUUGUGUCUUCGAGUCGUUGAUUUCACACUGCCGAGAAAAGCCUCUAGAUAGAAAAUAGGUGCCCGUACCGCAAACCGACACAGGUAGUCAAGAUGAGAAUUCUAAGGUGAGCGAGCGAACUCUCGUUAAGGAACUCGGCAAAAUGACCCCGUAACUUCGGGAGAAGGGGUGCUCUUUAGGGUUAACGCCCAGAAGAGCCGCAGUGAAUAGGCCCAAGCGACUGUUUAUCAAAAACACAGGUCUCUGCUAAACCGUAAGGUGAUGUAUAGGGGCUGACGCCUGCCCGGUGCUGGAAGGUUAAGAGGAGUGGUUAGCUUCUGCGAAGCUACGAAUCGAAGCCCCAGUAAACGGCGGCCGUAACUAUAACGGUCCUAAGGUAGCGAAAUUCCUUGUCGGGUAAGUUCCGACCCGCACGAAAGGCGUAACGAUUUGGGCACUGUCUCAACGAGAGACUCGGUGAAAUCAUAGUACCUGUGAAGAUGCAGGUUACCCGCGACAGGACGGAAAGACCCCGUGGAGCUUUACUGUAGCCUGAUAUUGAAAUUCGGCACAGCUUGUACAGGAUAGGUAGGAGCCUUUGAAACGUGAGCGCUAGCUUACGUGGAGGCGCUGGUGGGAUACUACCCUAGCUGUGUUGGCUUUCUAACCCGCACCACUUAUCGUGGUGGGAGACAGUGUCAGGCGGGCAGUUUGACUGGGGCGGUCGCCUCCUAAAAGGUAACGGAGGCGCUCAAAGGUUCCCUCAGAAUGGUUGGAAAUCAUUCAUAGAGUGUAAAGGCAUAAGGGAGCUUGACUGCGAGACCUACAAGUCGAGCAGGGUCGAAAGACGGACUUAGUGAUCCGGUGGUUCCGCAUGGAAGGGCCAUCGCUCAACGGAUAAAAGCUACCCCGGGGAUAACAGGCUUAUCUCCCCCAAGAGUUCACAUCGACGGGGAGGUUUGGCACCUCGAUGUCGGCUCAUCGCAUCCUGGGGCUGUAGUCGGUCCCAAGGGUUGGGCUGUUCGCCCAUUAAAGCGGUACGCGAGCUGGGUUCAGAACGUCGUGAGACAGUUCGGUCCCUAUCCGUCGUGGGCGUAGGAAAUUUGAGAGGAGCUGUCCUUAGUACGAGAGGACCGGGAUGGACAUACCUCUGGUGUACCAGUUGUCGUGCCAACGGCAUAGCUGGGUAGCUAUGUGUGGACGGGAUAAGUGCUGAAAGCAUCUAAGCAUGAAGCCCCCCUCAAGAUGAGAUUUCCCAACUUCGGUUAUAAGAUCCCUCAAAGAUGAUGAGGUUAAUAGGUUCGAGGUGGAAG